AAAAGCCUGCAGUUAAAUGAAGGAGAACUGAAGAUCUUCAUUAGAAGUCAUAGUGAUUCCCACCACUUGUUUAUGGUGGAGUUCAGAUUCCCUCUCCAGGGACUGGUCUAAGCUUACCUCCUCCCCUAUUGACCUGAAUAUCUCGCCCUCCUAACAUUAAAAGACCUGAGUGAAUUUUCAUCACAUUUCUCAGGAGACUAAACUUAGUGGAACUUUGAAGCGUGCCUUGGAACACCAUGCUUAUGCAAGUUUUUUUUUCUGCUGUGGAUUGUUGAUGCUGCAGGAGCAGAUAGACUGAUGUGCCUUGAAUUCCAACAAGGAGAAGGUAGUGUGUUGUUCUUUUUGAAUAAAGAGUGAG
RNAcentral lists this long non-coding RNA (358 nucleotides) under Homo sapiens (human). RNAcentral's name for it is "HSALNT0076255". The record is from RNAcentral. Lineage: Eukaryota; Metazoa; Chordata; Mammalia; Primates; Hominidae.